RNAcentral lists this long non-coding RNA (868 nucleotides) under Ananas comosus (pineapple). RNAcentral's name for it is "long non-coding RNA (ACOM_LNC020204)". Lineage: Eukaryota; Viridiplantae; Streptophyta; Magnoliopsida; Poales; Bromeliaceae. The record is from RNAcentral.
UAUAUAUAGUAGAGCUACUAUGCUAUCGAAAGUAUAGAGAUAUGGUGCUUUCGAUUUUUUAAUUCUUAGAUCAAUCCCUUUAAUUGUUUCUUAUCUUUGGAUUAAUAUUAUUAUUAUCUUGUAGGACCACUCAAUCCUAAGAGUAUUAUUUAAUCAUAGGGGAGACCGUAAUCAUCCCAACCAUACAAUUUUUAAUCAAAGGGUCAAAAAUUUAAAAACAUCAAAUCCUCUAUAUUUUCGAUAGCAUAGUAAUUCUACACUAUAUAUAUAUUAAAAAAUAUAUAAAUAUAAUAUAUUUUCAUUAUAUAUAGGCUGAGUGAAUAAUCUGAGUUUAGUUAAAAUUAGGCCAAUGUUGUUAGCCCAUAAAAACAAAUCCAAUAGACAAAUAAAAGAGCAAAAUUUUACUAAAUUUAUAUAGUUUCCUUUCUUUCUUUCUUUCUUUCUUUCACAGAGCACUAAAUUUUCAAUAUGUUUCUCUCUUUCUCUUUUUCUGUCUCUCACCCUAAGUGGCUAAGCUGGAAGCCCUCUAAGUUACCAAGUAACAUCAUAUGUCCGCCGUUGCCUAGCUUGCUAUUAAUUGUAUGCUUGAGAAAAUAUACAGAAUAUUUUUAAAGUAAAAAAUUAUUAUUCAUAUAAAAUUUUAAUUUUAGUUAUAUAUGAUUGGAUAAUUUAAUCCAAUAUUUAUCUAUAUAAUUUAUUUAUUUUUGACUGCAAAAAUAAAAUUGAAUAAUAUAGAGAUUGAAGGUGAAAGAAAAGACAUGUGAGGCUGAAAAAAUUAGAUAUUCAACUCAUAAAUUAUUUUUUUUCAUAUUAUAAUACUAUAUUUCAUAUAAUUAUUUUGUACUUUGAACUAUUAGACAUAUUUUUG